AGCUGAAGCAAGCAAAAGGGCUUGAAGAGUAGAGGGCCUAGGACCAAGGAGAAAGGAGCUGGAGGGAGAGAAGUAUGCUAUGCCCCUCUGGCUGCUCACUCCCUCAGGGAGCUGAGAGUAACCACACAUACUGACCUGGGUGAUCUUGGAGAAAAAGGCACAAGAGGCCACUGCUACCAAGUGAGAAAGCUGGCUGUGGCCCCCGGGGCAAAAGUUAAAAGCCAGCAGGAAAAGGAAGCGGGAGGUGCUCUCAGGAAAGCCUGCCUCCAGGUGGCCUGGUAUAUUCACUCUGAGGAAAAAAAAAAGGGAGAUGAAAAGUUUUUCAGAGAGAUGGAAAACUGGAUUUGUGGUCUUCAGCUCAGAAAUCAAGAUAUGCAUUGAUGAGCUGGACCAAAUGAAAGGCAGAAAAGAGAAAAAGAGAAGAGAGGCAAGGAAACACACAAAUGAGAUGUGAUGGCUUCAGCCAGUUAUUUCCUCUUUCCAAGCCUCAGUUCUUUGAUCUCUAAAAUGGUAAUAAUAUUGAUCAUACCUUUCUUGAAGAGGUGUUGGGAGGAUUAAGUGAGAUUAAGCAGGUAAAGUGCUUAGCACAUAGUAGGAACUCAGCGGAGGAUAAAUUGUUAUUCUAUUAUUAUUUCUGCGGGUUGAAAAAUGAAAGCCCAGAGGCCAAGGUAGCAGUAGCCUCUGUCUAUAGCCAUCUUCGUUAUUGGAGCGUCCGUCCACCUUAGGUGCUGUGUCUGUUGGAACAACUCCAUUAAAGGCCAGUCUUAAGGGUAGGCUGUGAAUUCUGUUUACAGGGCCCAAAAGUUGCCUCCCUGACAAUUAUUUCUUUUGAAGCAACUCAUCAUGAGGCCUACAAUUCCUUAAUUUAUACUAAACCUACCUCUCAUUGUUAUGAAAAAAUUUAAAAAUACAGAAAAAUAUUUUUAUAAAAUGGAGGUCACACUUAAUCUACUAACUAAUGAUAGCCUCAAUUCACAUUUUGGCAUAGUCCUUCCAAGAUUUAUUUUAUGCUUAUGUAUAUCAUAAAAGCAAUCAAUUAGACUUUUUGUGUAACUCAAAAUAUUGUUAAUAGUUGUAUAAUUGCCAUGAUUGUG
Molecule: long non-coding RNA, 1094 nt
Filed under: Homo sapiens (human)
Lineage: Eukaryota; Metazoa; Chordata; Mammalia; Primates; Hominidae
Description: HSALNT0102924
Source: RNAcentral